RNAcentral lists this ribosomal RNA (428 nucleotides) under uncultured bacterium. RNAcentral describes it as "bacterial SSU rRNA". It matches the Rfam family "Bacterial small subunit ribosomal RNA", at positions 355 to 775 of the family's 1533-position model. The record is from RNAcentral.
UAGGGAAUAUUGGACAAUGGGCGAAAGCCUGAUCCAGCCAUGCCGCGUGAGUGAUGAAUGCCUUCGGGUUAUAAAACUCUUUUCUGGGGGAAGAACAUCCGGGACAGGAAAUGGUCCCGGCUUGACGGUACCUCAGGAAUAAGGGACGGCUAACUCCGUGCCAGCAGCCGCGGUAAUACGGAGGUCCCGAGCGUUGUUCGGAAUUACUGGGCGUAAAGGGAGCGCAGGCGGACAGGUCAGUCUGAAGUGGAAAUCCGGGGCUCAACCUAGGACUUGCUUCGGAUACUGCUUGUCUUGAGUUCGUGAGGGGAAGAUGGAAUUCAGGGUGUAGCGGUGAAAUGCUCAGAUAUCCUGAGGAACACCGGUGGCGAAAGCGGUCUUCUGGCACGAAACUGACGCUGAGGCUCGAAAGCGUGGGGAGCAAACAG